UCAAGAGACUGCUGGAAGAGUUUUGUUGAUCUCUUCUGGAUAAUAACUCUUGUUCUUGUGCUUUUCAGGUCUUGGAGAUGUGUUUCUGUGAAGCAUGUCUGGCAUCUGAAUCACACCUCCGAACCCUUCUAUGCUGAUAUUGUUUAAUCCAGAAGUUGGUCUUUCCACAACCUGGGGAAUGUUAUCUGUUCCUUCCUUGAACGAGCGCCUGCCUUUGUGCAGUCAAUGGCUGACGGCGAGGUGUCUUCUGCCCCUUGGGGAUAAUAAAGGCUCGCCCUGACUCUCAGACAGACCGUGCUUUCGCUGCUUCUCGAUAACACGGCCAGCCUAAACUCAUCAUUGAUGUCGGUGCGCAGUGACGCGCCGCGCGGAGCGGCAGAUUGAUGUCCGCCAACGCCUCCUUUCGUCAGCUAUUAGGAAGCCGGACAAAGGUGCUGUCUCGCACUGCACUGAUCAAGCCAGAGACAAACACGGGAGACUUGAAGGCACCCAUUAAGCAGCUCCCUGAAGAGCGGUGAGCUCAGAAUCCAAACAACAAAACGUUAAGGAAACGACUUUAGUCGAGGGGCCAUAUUUACCCAAAUCAGUGAUUUCGAAUGUUCAACGGUUUAAACGACUGUAUUUAAAAAUAUUUAAUACCAACAUUAUAUUUGUCAUCUACAUUCUAUCUUCAAUGCUGCAUGUGAUAAUGAAGAGCUAUGGAUCCAACCAUUUUCUAACUGCUUUAUCCUGUUCAGGGUUGAAUUCACAUGAGGGAUGUGUCACGCCCGGUACACCUAGAGGGUGCUCUACUUCUCUCCUGUUCCUAGUUCUCUGUGAUUAUUCUUUUCUUUCUGAUGUGUCU
Molecule: long non-coding RNA, 844 nt
Organism: Lepisosteus oculatus (spotted gar)
Lineage: Eukaryota; Metazoa; Chordata; Actinopteri; Semionotiformes; Lepisosteidae
Source: RefSeq, a predicted model, not a curated record